AGAUUGAACGCUAGCGGGAUGCUUUACACAUGCAAGUCGAACGGCAGCGCGGACUUCGGUCUGGCGGCGAGUGGCGAACGGGUGAGUAAUAUAUCGGAACGUGCCCAGUAGCGGGGGAUAACUACGCGAAAGCGUGGCUAAUACCGCAUACGCCCUACGGGGGAAAGGGGGGAUUCUUCGGAACCUCUCACUAUUGGAGCGGCCGAUAUCAGAUUAGCUAGUUGGUGAGGUAAAGGCUCACCAAGGCGACGAUCUGUAGCUGGUUUGAGUAGGACGACCAGCCACACUGGGACUGAGACACGGCCCAGACUCCUACGGGAGCAGCAGUGGG
Molecule: ribosomal RNA, 331 nt
Filed under: uncultured soil bacterium
Lineage: Bacteria
Description: bacterial SSU rRNA
Rfam family: Bacterial small subunit ribosomal RNA
Source: RNAcentral